UACAUGAAACAACACAUUCACACUCAACACACAACACAGCUACAUGAAACAACACAUUCACACUCAACACAGCUACAUGAAACAACACAUUCACACACAACACACAACACAGCUACAUGAAACAACACAUUCACACUCAACACAGCUACAUGAAACAACACAUUCACACUCAACAAGGUGUGCUAAAGGUUUUGGACCUUUCUGCUUGGUUGAAGAGACACAGAGGUGUUGGACCUUUCUGCUUGGUUGAAGAGAUACAGAGGUGUUGGACCUUUCUGCUUGGUUGAAGAGACACAGAGGUGUUGGACCUUUCUGCUUGGUUGAAGAGACACAGAGGUGUUGGACCUUUCUGCUUGGUUGAAGAGAUACAGAGGUGUUGGACCGUUCUGCUUGGUUGAAGAGACACAGAGGUGUUGGACCUUUCUGCUUGGUUGAAGAGAUACAGAGGUGUUGGACCGUUCUGCUUGGUUGAAGAGAUACAGAGGUGUUGGACCUUUCUGCUUGGUUGAAGAGUUACAGAGGUGUUGGACCGUUCUGCUUGGUUGAAGAGAUACAGAGGUGUUGGACCUUUCUGCUUGGUUGAAGAGAUACAGAGGUGUUGGACCUUUCUGCUUGGUUGAAGAGAUACAGAGGUGUUGGACCUUUCUGCUUGGUUGAAGAGAUACA
Long non-coding RNA from Oncorhynchus keta (chum salmon), 666 nucleotides. RefSeq lists it as uncharacterized. Lineage: Eukaryota; Metazoa; Chordata; Actinopteri; Salmoniformes; Salmonidae. The transcript is spliced from 3 exons. The record is from RefSeq and is a predicted model, not a curated record.